This is a long non-coding RNA of Photinus pyralis (common eastern firefly), 536 nucleotides long. RefSeq lists it as uncharacterized. The record is from RefSeq and is a predicted model, not a curated record. The transcript is spliced from 2 exons. NCBI's taxonomy places the organism in Eukaryota, Metazoa, Arthropoda, Insecta, Coleoptera, Lampyridae.
UAAAACCGAAUAUGAUUAAUUUCGUUUUUUUUUCGGAACUGAUCGGAAUUUACAAAUUUUUAAAAUAUCAUUUGACUUACUUGCUUUUCCUUCUUAUAUUGGACACACUGUAUAUAUAUUACAUUACCAUAAGGAGCGAAAGGGGCGAAGGGCAGAGAUGAAGGUAAGGUAAUAUCACUUCACAGUCACAUAUUGUAGGUACCUGUAGCACUUGGCACCUCUGUAAAUUAGCCAUGCUCAAACCAAGGACGUUAAAAAAAUACCACGUCAAUGGCCCAAGCUAACAAAACAAGUAUGCAUAACAUAUUCAAUGCCUGUAGGUAAAUACUUAUGUUACUAUUAAUGCUGUACCUAAACAGAUUUUAGACCUACAAAAAUAAAAUAGAGUGUAACAUACUUUUUGAUAAAGUUAUUAUUCUUAGAUAUGGACGGAGAUGGUGGGACACAAUUUGUUAAAAUCGAACCAAAACAGGAAGAAGGAAUCCAUUCCUCUCUUCAGGGAAAUAUUUGGGUGGGCAACGAUGCUUUUGGUAUAA